Linepithema humile (Argentine ant) is the source of this 753-nucleotide non-coding RNA. Lineage: Eukaryota; Metazoa; Arthropoda; Insecta; Hymenoptera; Formicidae. The record is from RefSeq and is a predicted model, not a curated record.
UUCUGCUAUUUAGAAAAUUCCGUUAUUAUAUCAAAUCAUCCAUUGUAUGGCGCAUGUUAUAUCAUCUAAUAUCUGAUCACGUGUUUUGGUUGGGUAUGAACACGUAUAUAAACAUACAGUAUAAUCAGACAAACGCGACAGAUGCAAACAAUUUAUUUUCUAGUCUACCAUUUUGGACCGCUAUGGAAAGUGCCCUAAAUGUAACAAAUAACACAAUAGGCUUUAAUAUGAAAGAUAUAAUCGAUGUUUGGUCAACGGAAGGAUAUUAUCCUGUAUUAUAUGUAACACAAGAUUUUUCCAUUAACACAUUAAUAUAUUAUAUAUCAUAUAUUAUACAUCAUUAAUUUCAAUCGUUACUUGCUGACAUCACUUGUUGACAUGAAACAAUACCGAAUAUAUGUAACGUAUACGAUGAAAUCAGUUAUAAACUUUGCGACAUCUAAUGUCAAAAAUUACUGUUGGCUAUCUUCACUAACACCACACUACUCUAUGCUUUGGAUUGAUAAUAAUGAUUGGAUUAUUGUCAAUUUACAACAAGCUGAUAAAUAUUAAACAGUAACUUUAUUUUCUGUAACUUAUGUUCUAUUAUUCGAAAUUUGACCACCGAUAUUUAUAUAUAUUAUGUAAGAUUAAUAAUAAUAUAUUAAUAUAUUGUAUGUAAUCACAAUUACACUUAACGUUUCGGCCAAUGUUGAUCCGCAGCUUACAUCUUUGAAAUUAAUUUAUUACUAAUUUAUAAUAACUUUGCAAUUA